AAACCACUUUCCAUCCGUUUUCGGUAGUAAAGAAAAACUCUCGUUUUAUAUUGCCAUGGAUAAUCCAUGUAGAGUGAGUCCAAAAGAGGACGGAGGGUGUUUUUAUGUGUUUGUUUUAUUUUUCCAUCUGAUUUGGGAGAUUCGGUGGGGUUCAUAGGAUGCCUACCACCCUCCUUUAUAGAAGAAACAUCUGUUCUUCAAAAAAGGCAAGGAAGAGAGAAGGCUUCUGGUUACAAAUCGAAUCUACCAAUUGGGCUCAAUGCUAGAAUAAUAGGAAAGUGGUGACUCAUAAUCAGCUACGAAACAAAGCUCUCUACCGAUUUUUCCAAAGGACAUGCUACAUCUUUCAGAAGGCUCUUCAAUGCCAAGCGUAACUGACAGACAGGACAUCAGGGACUCUUGAUAAAUGAGUGGAAAAACAGGACCUGCUUUCAACACUCUAAAAAUAAGUGAUUCUAUGAAACUACCACCACAAAAAGGAACUAAAGAAGAAUGUGUCAGCUGUUCGAAUACAAUCAACUGAUUACGUAGAACGUUGUCAGAAAUGCACAUCUGUGCGGAGGGUGGCAGAGAGACUAGUCUGCCCCAAGAAGAAGUAUUUUAUCCCUGCCGUUGUUUGGAACUGCCACAUGUGGUGAUAAUAAAAAGCAGGCCAAUUAGUUGGCUUUCUUCUUUCUUGAAUUCUCUACUGACCACGUGCCCCGGCUCUCGUGGCUCCAUCCUCCCCCUCAAGUACACCAUCAAGUGUAACCAGGGACACAUGUUACCCAUCAGAUCAGACCUUUUCAAAAUUACUUUCAUUGGUCUUUUAAAAAAAAAAAAAAAAUCUCACUUCCCACGGCUUGACUGUCGGAUCCUGCCUUCCCCAGCCGGAUCUGUGUGUCUCGUGUGGUCCCCCAUUGCCCCACCCCCUCAGCUGCCUGCAGGCUCUGGUCAGCCAGGCCUGAGACGAUGAGAACUGAAAACCCCAUCCGCAUUAGGGAGUGGAGACUGCGGCUGCUGUGUCCCCUUGCCCCUCCAUCAGUUCCUCCACCCUCCAUCGCAGCAGGAGUUCUUCUAAGAUUUGGGGGGUCUCCGCCUGAAGCCCCUUUGAAGAGCAGAAACACAUUAGCACGAUCGCCACCACUGAUGGUAACUGCUCCCACUUCUACAGCAUAAGCUCUGGAGAACCAAAAUUCCAGGACUAGUGGAUUUUAAUGAAGAAUAUCCAAGUAUUUAUGUAACAUUCUAUUUAAACAGCAAGAUUGAAAAAUCUUCCCUAAAUUUAUUUCUGUUUCCAUGCUUUCAAAGCACAGUUGGAGAAGGAAGAAAGAGCAAUUUUGGAUGAAGGUAGUACAUGAGGAAGUGGGUUAGGUUGGAGCAGUUCAGAUUUUAAAGAGCCUGAGUCACUCCCCACCCAGGACAAGCAUCUAACCACAGACACGCUCUGUCACGCAUGUGCUGACUCCACUUUCCCCUUAUAAGUCAAUCUUUCAUGUUCUUUUUCUUGGAUUCAUUAAAAGGACAAAAACAUGUGUUCGUUCAGUGACUCGCCCUUCCUUAGCUCAGGCAAGUGAAACUUGAGGCUAAAACCACCCCAGGCAGAAUGAAAAUGCCAAGCUUUCCAAGUCAACUUUUCCCAAAUUAAAACCAAACAGAGGCUGUGAAGGAUCAAGUCCUCUUUUCCUGGAUCAACAAAUCAUAGAGGGAGUCACAAGAAAGUCAUUUUAAUGCAUGGCGAAGGUUUCCGUGCCUGCAGAGGAGUUUAUUAGGUUUGGAUAACAGAAGAGAAAGAAGAAAAGUUUCUGAAGCCAAAUAGAAAAAUCCAGGCCUGGAUGCUCAGGUUAGCCCCAAAUGGCUUCUCUUCCUGAGUCUUGCUGCCUUCACUGACACCUGGCUGCAGCUGUAAUAAUUGCUGCUAUUAACUGAGCACCUACAAAUUGGGUCUUGAACUUAGCUCUACUUGACUCCAAAUGUAUUCCUUCUGUUUGUUGCAGAGGCCCUGUUCUCCUUACAGUUAUAAAGAAAGACGAGUCCAGAUGGAACCAGGAAAGUGCCAUUGUCACUCCACUGGGACCCUAGUGAGGAUCCAAGGGAAUGAAGCGCAGUUUUCCAGGCCCUCCUUGGCCUCAGGUGGUGGGGAGAUGCACCCCUGGCAGGGAGAUGCACCCCUGGCAGCGCCAUGCAUCUUCCAUGGGGUGGGAAGACCGAGCGAAAAAUCAGCGUGUCGGGAGUGGUUCCAAGGGGGAGUCGAUUGCAUUGGAGUGAAUACUGGAAGCAGGAGAAAAUAAAUGCUCUUUUUGCUGAUUAUUGCCUCUACUAAUCUACAUGAGAUCACUGGUGUUAAAUUUUCUUACACGUUCCAUGAGUCGCAUCUUAAAAUUGUCUCAAAUGCUAUACCUGGAGAUUGCACUGACAUGCUUAAGAGGCCACAAGAGCCUCUUAAACAUGUAGAUCAUUCUGGAGAGGUGGGAGAGGCAGGGUGUUUCAUGAACAAAGGUGUUGGGCUGGAAGUCACAAGACAGGUGGGCUAGUCCCCGGUCUGUCACUCAUCCACUCAGUGCCAGCCAGGAGAAAUCAUGAUAACACAAAAAGAAUAGCUACUGUUUUCAGUAUUGAGCAUUUAUAACAUUGCAGGCAUUAGAUUAGCUGUUUCAUAUAUAAUACACUGUUUAAGUUUCAUGAUCCCUCCUCUAAUUCACUCUUACAAGAAAAAGGUCUAUUUAUGAUUAAAAUAGGUAAUUUCAGGAAACACUUUGGAGGGCAGGGUAAGGACCUCUGAAAAUCCAGUCUUCUUAAAAGCAGCAAGAACACUGUCAACAAUUGUGAAAAUCAACUUUUUCAGAACUCUGGAAGUUAGCCAAAGACUUGCAACAAUACCAGGAGCAUCGAUUCAAGAAAAAUGGCCGAAUCUUGGUAAGAGCAGUGAGCUCUGUGGAGUUGUAACUAGUCCUGUUCAAAGACCUGCGCCUCCAGCUCCCCAGCAGCCUUGAAAAUCAAUAGACUCGCAGCUACCAUAGCUGUGAAAAUGUGCUCUAUCCAUACAACGGCAUCUUAUUUAGCCCUAAAAAGGAAUGAAGACAUUGGUGAACCUUGAAAACGUGCCAAGUGAAGGAAGCCAAACACAAAAGGCCACGCAUCGUAUGGUUCCAUCUAUGUGAAAUGUCCGGGAUAGGCAAAUACAUAGAGACAGAAAGUAGAUUACAUGCUGACAGGGCCUGGGGGUCAGGAGUAAUGGGAGUGACUGUCAAUGGGCAUGGCCUUACUUUUUGGGAUAGUGUAAAUGUUCUGAAAUUAGAUGGUGACAAUGGUUGCAAACUCUGUGAAUAGACUAAAGACCAUUGAGUUGCACACAU
Long non-coding RNA from Equus caballus (horse), 3335 nucleotides. The record is from Ensembl. NCBI's taxonomy places the organism in Eukaryota, Metazoa, Chordata, Mammalia, Perissodactyla, Equidae.